GACGAACCGUGCGAACGUUAUUCGGAAUCACUGGGCUUAAAGCGCGUGUAGGCGGACGGGGACGUCGGUCGCUGAAAUCCCCCGGCUCAACCGGGGAACGGGCGCCGAAACGCCCCGUCUCGAGGGACGUAGGGGGACCUGGAACUUCCGGUGGAGCGGUGAAAUGCGUUGAGAUCGGAAGGAACGCCCGUGGCGAAAGCGAGGUCCUGGACGUCUUCUGACGCUGAGACGCGAAAGCGUGGGGAGCAAACAGG
RNAcentral lists this ribosomal RNA (254 nucleotides) under uncultured bacterium. RNAcentral describes it as "partial 16S ribosomal RNA". It matches the Rfam family "Bacterial small subunit ribosomal RNA", at positions 524 to 776 of the family's 1533-position model. The record is from RNAcentral.